AUACGGAGGGUGCAAGCGUUACUCGGAAUCACUGGGCGUAAAGCGCGCGCAGGCGGCUUGAUAAGUUGGAUGUGAAAGCCUACGGCUCAACCGUAGAACUGCAUCCAAAACUGUCAGGCUAGAGUGUGGGAGAGGAAGAUGGAAUUAGUUGUGUAGGGGUAAAAUCCGUAGAGAUAACUAGGAAUACCAAAAGCGAAGGCAAUCUUCUGGAACACUUCUGACGCUGAGGCGCGAAGGCGUGGGGAGCAAACAGGAUUAGAAACCCCGGUAGUCC
RNAcentral lists this ribosomal RNA (274 nucleotides) under uncultured bacterium. RNAcentral's name for it is "partial 16S ribosomal RNA". It matches the Rfam family "Bacterial small subunit ribosomal RNA", at positions 523 to 796 of the family's 1533-position model. The record is from RNAcentral.